AGAGUUUGAUCCUGGCUCAGAUUGAACGCUGGCGGCAUGCCUUACACAUGCAAGUCGAACGGCAGCACGAGAGCUUGCUCUUGGUGGCGAGUGGCGAACGGGUGAGUAAUAUAUCGGAACGUACCCUAGAGUGGGGGAUAACGUAGCGAAAGUUACGCUAAUACCGCAUACGAUCUACGGAUGAAAGUGGGGGAUCGCAAGACCUCAUGCUCAUGGAGCGGCCGAUAUCUGAUUAGCUAGUUGGUGGGGUAAAAGCUCACCAAGGCGACGAUCAGUAGCUGGUCUGAGAGGACGACCAGCCACACUGGAACUGAGACACGGUCCAGACUCCUACGGGAGGCAGCAGUGGGGAAUUUUGGACAAUGGGCGCAAGCCUGAUCCAGCAAUGCCGCGUGAGUGAAGAAGGCCUUCGGGUUGUAAAGCUCUUUUGUCAGGGAAGAAACGGUGGACUCUAAUACAGAUCACUAAUGACGGUACCUGAAGAAUAAGCACCGGCUAACUACGUGCCAGCAGCCGCGGUAAUACGUAGGGUGCAAGCGUCAAUCGGAAUUACUGGGCGUAAAGCGUGCGCAGGCGGUUGUGCAAGACAGAUGUGAAAUCCCCGGGCUCAACCUGGGAAUUGCAUUUGUGACUGCACGGCUAGAGUGUGUCAGAGGGGGGUAGAAUUCCACGUGUAGCAGUGAAAUGCGUAGAGAUGUGGAGGAAUACCGAUGGCGAAGGCAGCCCCCUGGGAUAACACUGACGCUCAUGCACGAAAGCGUGGGGAGCAAACAGGAUUAGAUACCCUGGUAGUCCACGCCCUAAACGAUGUCUACUAGUUGUCGGGUCUUAAUUGACUUGGUAACGCAGCUAACGCGUGAAGUAGACCGCCUGGGGAGUACGGUCGCAAGAUUAAAACUCAAAGGAAUUGACGGGGACCCGCACAAGCGGUGGAUGAUGUGGAUUAAUUCGAUGCAACGCGAAAAACCUUACCUACCCUUGACAUGUCUGGAAUCCUUGAGAGAUCAGGGAGUGCUCGAAAGAGAAUCAGAACACAGGUGCUGCAUGGCUGUCGUCAGCUCGUGUCGUGAGAUGUUGGGUUAAGUCCCGCAACGAGCGCAACCCUUGUCAUUAGUUGCUACGAAAGGGCACUCUAAUGAGACUGCCGGUGACAAACCGGAGGAAGGUGGGGAUGACGUCAAGUCCUCAUGGCCCUUAUGGGUAGGGCUUCACACGUCAUACAAUGGUACAUACAGAGGGCCGCCAACCCGCGAGGGGGAGCUAAUCCCAGAAAGUGUAUCGUAGUCCGGAUUGUAGUCUGCAACUCGACUACAUGAAGUUGGAAUCGCUAGUAAUCGCGGAUCAGCAUGUCGCGGUGAAUACGUUCCCGGGUCUUGUACACACCGCCCGUCACACCAUGGGAGCGGGUUUCACCAGAAGUGGGUAGCCUAACCGCAAGGAGGGCGCUCACCACGGUGGGAUUCGUGACUGGGGUGAAGUCGUAACAAGGUA
Molecule: ribosomal RNA, 1491 nt
Filed under: metagenome
Description: bacterial SSU rRNA
Rfam family: Bacterial small subunit ribosomal RNA
Source: RNAcentral